AGAGUUUGAUUAUGGCUCAGAACGAACGCUGGCGGCGUGCCUAACACAUGCAAGUCGAACGAGAAAGUACUUCGGUAUGAGUAAAGUGGCGCACGGGUCCUUAACACGUGGAUAAUCUCCCCUCAGGCGAAAAAUAACCCCUCGAAAGAGGAGCUAAUAUUUCGUAAGACCACAGAUUCUUCGGAAUCAGAGGUAAAAGAUGGCCUCUAUUUAUAAGCUAUCGCCAGAGGAUGAGUCCGCGCACCAUUAGCUAGUUGGCGGGGUAAUGGCCCACCAAGGCAAAGAUGGUUAGCUGAUCUGAGAGGAUGAUCAGCGACACUGGAACUGAAACACGGUCCAGACUCCUACGGGAGGCAGCAGUGGGGAAUAUUGGACAAUGGACGAAAGUCUGAUCCAGCAACGCCGCGUGAGCGAUGAAGGCCUUCGGGUCGUAAAGCUCUGUCAGAUGGAACGAAAGAAGCUUACCUAACACGUAAGCUGUUGACGGUACUAUCAAAGGAAGCACCGGCUAACUCUGUGCCAGCCGCCGCGGUAA
Molecule: ribosomal RNA, 535 nt
Filed under: uncultured Syntrophaceae bacterium
Lineage: Bacteria; Pseudomonadati; Thermodesulfobacteriota; Syntrophia; Syntrophales; Syntrophaceae
Description: bacterial SSU rRNA
Rfam family: Bacterial small subunit ribosomal RNA
Source: RNAcentral